This 3116-nucleotide long non-coding RNA is filed under the name Homo sapiens (human). RNAcentral's name for it is "non-protein coding lnc-RPS4Y1-2:4". The record is from RNAcentral. Lineage: Eukaryota; Metazoa; Chordata; Mammalia; Primates; Hominidae.
GAGAAGAGGAGAUUUCAGGUGAGCCUGUUCCUACUGUUGAAUUACAUUUAUUUUGAUGGCGGCGGGGUGUGCAGAUGACCCUUUCCUCACACCGUCUCCGAUAUUGGUGUUCACCAAAACAUCUUUAUCCAGUAGUGCAAAAUGUCAUGCUAACCUUGUCUUAGUUUCACGUCUUUAAUUCUGAAACUUGAAACAAAAACAAUGCAUCAGUGGGCCAUGGAGACUUCUUCUUCUGUGUAUGGGAUACUGUGUCUUUUAUUCUUCUAUUCUGGUAUGUCCUCCCUGAUUUCUAGUCAUUUUUGAAUUAUUUAUAGACAGUAAACAUUGCCCAAUAUAUUAUGAAAAUGUGUUUCCACUUUAUUGUUGCCUCUGAAAACAUUUUGAACAGAAGCUUUUAUAAGCAAGGCUUGAAUUUUUCUUUUUUAUGUUGUCUUAGGUUUGUGUGAGUUUCCACCUUUGUGUAACACAUUUUUCCUUUUAACAGAACCAUUUUAUCACUGUCUCUCUUCCUUCUUGGGAAAAAGAAAACCAUCUUUUUCUUUUCAUUUGCAUUACUUACAACUAUGAAUUGAUUUAUAGAGUGCUAAAAUAUUUGUAAAAUCGAGCAGAUUCUUCUGUGUGCCUUUUUCUCCUGGUGAUUUAUUUAAAUGGAUUUCUAAGGUGUUUUCCCGUCAGUAUUGAUUUGUUUUGGUGAGUACGAUUUUAUGUGCGCUAUUUGUCUCUCUGUUUCUGAACUAUAGCAACAUUUUUGUGCAUUCUCUCUUACUCUCCACUGAAUGAUGAACCCUUGUGAACUUCCAAUUGUUUUCUCUUCAUUUCUUAAUGUUUCUGAGAAGACCGACAUAUUAUUUGUAAGUGAUUUUAAAAUUUGUCUCCUUUUCUAUGUUUUUUCGUUGUCUUCAGAGUGUCUUCAGAGUGCAUUCGUAUUUUUGUUGAAUUGGCUUUGCUAGAGAACACAUGAUGGCUUUAAGUAUGAGUGAAGAGAGUAGACAUUUUUUAUUCCUGAUUUCAAGGUAAAAACCUAAAGAGGUUCACCUGUAAAUAAAAUAAAUUGUCUUUACAAAACCAGAUACUCAUUCCAAGAAGAUCUCUCUAUUCUAGUAUACUUUUUUUUCUAAACAUACAAUAGUAUAGGUUCUCAUACUGUGAGACUUCUUAUUUCUUUAUACACAAUAUAUUUGAAAAGUCAUUGGUUUUUUAGUGAUUACUAAUGUACUGUUACAUGGUUUUGAAAAGUGUUGGAUUCAAAGUUUCCUUCAUUUAAGCCUCUUUUUUCUCCCUUCCCCAUAUAAAAAGUUGAUGAUGGCCAGGAAUAGAGGUUCACACAUAUAAUCCCAGCACUUUGGGAGGCUGAGAUGGGAGCAUCUUUUGAGCCCAGGAGUUCAAGACCAGCCUGGGCAACAUAGCAAAACCCCCUCUCUACAAUGAAAUGAAAAAUUAGCCAGGCUUGUUGGCACAUACCUGCUGUCCCACCUGCUUGGGAGGCUGAGGCAGGAGGAUUGCUUGAGGCCAGGAGGCGGAGCCUGCAGUGAGCCGUGGUCACACCACUGCACUCCAGCCUGCGUGACAGAGGAAGACCCUGUCUCAAAACAAAACAAAAAUGGUUCCUCGACUUUAGUUAGGAUUUGAAAAGCUUAGAACUGGAAGGCAGCCUCUGAAAUUAUCAAGAAUGUCACAGCAGUUUGUGGAACACACCUGGGUGGGUAGACCCACUUUUUAGACACUCUCUAGCCCAAAUCUGAUCACAGUCAUUCUUCCUCACCUCUUAGGGUCUCCCUCACAGAAGGUGUUGGGGGCCUUGGACGAGAUGUUGAUGGGAUGGGAAUAAACAGGAGCAAAUAAUGUGCAGGCGAAGUUGGAGUUCCUGCUCAGUCUGGGAGGAGAAUUGAUUUAUGAAUUUCUUUCUUUCUCUCUUUGUAUCUAUCUCUUCUUUCUCUCUCUCUCUCUCUCUCCCCCCAGCCACCUUCUGAUCUCUAAUCCAUUCAUGUGAGAGAAGAGCGAUGUGAAAAUGGUCAGCAAUUUGCUUUUUCUGAUGAGAUCCUGGUGAGAGUCAUGUUCAAUAAAGUAUUUAGUCACGUGGGGCUCCAGUGAUUUCUCUGUUUACAAGCUCAUUCCUUCCUCAUUUUCUCAGAACUUUGGUGUUAACAGCCUGUUUCCUAUUUGUAGGGGCUGACUUUGACUUAGCAGAUGCCUUUCGUGAUGGAGGAAAUAACGACCCAGCACCUCUUAAUUCACCCAAGCUGAAGCCAAAUGCGAACCCUGAGCAGCCUGGAUUCAUUGACGAGCCAGCACCACUGAACCCACCCAAACCAAAGCCAAAUCCAAACCCCAAGCAGCCUGAUUCCACCGGGGAUGACUUUGAUUUCACAGAUGUUUCUUCAUGGUGAACGAAACAGGGAGUUGCCUCGAUUCUGAUGUGUUUGCUUCGGUGCUCUGUGUAUUGUAUUCAUCCCACUCUUCAAUUCAUAAACUCUGGAGAUUCUUCAAUUCACUGGGCAAACCAUAUGCCUAAGUCUAUCCUCUGAUGGAGGCUCGUACAUGCAAAAUCCAAUAGCAACCUGGGAAGAUUUCAGUCAAGACCCAAGAGGAGGCUGGCAUCAGGCUCUCGGUCACCGAUCUUCACAUUCAGGUUUCCUGAUGCACUUUGCGACUCUUUGGGCAACCUCUGGACUCCUUGUUCCCAGGGUCCACAUUUAGUUUUAUCUUUACUGCAUUGCUUUUAUGAAAAAGAAUAAAAUUGGAUGAAACAGAUACAGAGUAUUGGUGUCAACCUAAGUAUUGGUGUCAACAAAGAGAUGGUUUGGAUCUGGUUCCCCACCACAUCUUAGGUUGAGUUGGAAUCCCCGGUUUGGAGGUGGCGCCUGGUGGGAGGUGACUGCAUUAUGCGGGUGGUUUCCAUUGAAUGGUUUACCACUGUCCCCCAUGGUGCUGUUGUGGCGGAAGUGAGUUAUCAUCCAAUCUGGUUGUUUAAAGGGUGCAACAACUUCCCCACCCCGUCCUGCUCCUGCUGUGGCCAUGUAAGAUGUGCCUGUUUCCCCUCUGCCUUCCGCCAUGAUUGUAAAUUUCCUGAGGCCUCCCCAGCCGUGCUUCCUGUACUGCCUGUGGAACCGUGAGCC